This 615-nucleotide ribosomal RNA is filed under the name uncultured soil bacterium. RNAcentral's name for it is "bacterial SSU rRNA". It matches the Rfam family "Bacterial small subunit ribosomal RNA", at positions 28 to 686 of the family's 1533-position model. The record is from RNAcentral.
AACGAACGCUGGCGGCAGGCUUAACACAUUGCAAGUCGAACGGAUGUAGCAAUACAUCAGUGGCAGACGGGUGAGUAACACGUGGGAACCUUCCUCGUUGUACGGAACAACUCAGGGAAACUUGAGCUAAUACCGUAUACGUCCGAGAGGAGAAAGAUUUAUCGCAAUGAGACGGGCCCGCGUCGGAUUAGCUAGUUGGUGGGGUAACGGCCUACCAAGGCGACGAUCCGUAGCUGAUCUGAGAGGAUGAUCAGCCACACUGGGACUGAGACACGGCCCAGACUCCUACGGGAGGCAGCAGUGGGGAAUCUUGGACAAUGGGCGCAAGCCUGAUCCAGCCAUGCCGCGUGAGUGAAGAAGGCCUUAGGGUUGUAAAGCUCUUUUGCCAGGGACGAUAAUGACGGUACCUGGAGAAUAAGCCCCGGCAAACUUCGUGCCAGCAGCCGCGGUAAUACGAAGGGGGCUAGCGUUGUUCGGAUUUACUGGGCGUAAAGCGCACGUAGGCGGAUUGUUAAGUCAGGGGUGAAAUCCCGGAGCUCAACUCCGGAACUGCCUUUGAUACUGGCAAUCUUGAGGCUGGAAGAGGUUAGUGGAAUUCCCAGUGUAGAGGUGAAA